RNAcentral lists this long non-coding RNA (1036 nucleotides) under Apteryx owenii (little spotted kiwi). RNAcentral describes it as "lncRNA (ENSAOWG00000004957.1)". The record is from RNAcentral. Lineage: Eukaryota; Metazoa; Chordata; Aves; Apterygiformes; Apterygidae.
UUGUGGGGUUGGGGGCUGGGCAUGGGGUGUAUGUGCUCUCUGGGAGGGUGUUUGUGGGGCUGGGGGCUGGACAUGUGUAUGUGCUCUCUGGGAGGGUUUUGGGGGGCAGGGGUCUGGGCAUGGGGUUCCUGUGCCCUUUAGGGGGAGUGUUAGUGGUGUUGGGGGCUGGGCAUGGGGUACCUGUGCCUCCUGUGGCAGGGAUGUAGUUGGGGGGGGGUCAUGCAAGAGCAUGGCAGGGGUUGGAGCACAUAAGGAGCUGAGCAUGGGGUGCUGUUGUCUCUUGUGGUUGGGGGAAGGGGCUUUUGGGGGGGCUACCCAGGGUUUUAAUGAAGCUGGAUGGGGUGCAGAGACCCGGCAUGGGUGUCUGUGUGUCUUGGGGGGUGCUUUGGGCUAAGGGUGAAGGUGGCUGUUGCAGGACACGGAAGGGGGGUGUUUCAUGCAGGGUGACUAGAGAUAGGGGAAAGAUGGCUACAGACAGGGCACAAGAUUUGAGAGUUGGCAGGUGUGCAGGGACCUGCGGGUGAAAGUGCAUGUGUCCUUCAGGGGUGGCAACAGAGAAGAAGGUGGCUUGUGAGGGGCUGGGGCUGGGGGAGGUUUGGGAUGGGCUGAAGAGUGGUCACGGGGCAGCUGGCCAAGGGACUUCUGUUGGUAGGGAAAUGGGAUUUGCCCAGUGUUGGGGCAGCUGGUCAUGCCCUUGGUGGACACUUGAGGUGCACAGGCCAGAAGGAAGUUUUGGCAGGAGGCAGCAGAGAUCAAAGUACGUCCUGUACUUGCUCAGAACAGGAACCUCUAAAUAACUCUGCGGAUUGGAUUAAGGACUCCUCGUACUGUGACAAUUUUACCACUGUGAAGUCCAGUGUCUCAUCUGUAUAGCACACUUUCCCACUGAUUAAAGUUCUUGCAUUUGUGACUUGCCCUCACAAUAGCAUACAGUGCUGUGAGGCUUUCUGCUUGCAUCACUGCAGCUGUGCAGCAGAUGGAAAGCCUGGUUGAAAGGGUUGAAUGCAUCCUGGGUAGGAGCAUGGCAAUUCUCUUC